Molecule: ribosomal RNA, 427 nt
Filed under: uncultured prokaryote
Description: bacterial SSU rRNA
Rfam family: Bacterial small subunit ribosomal RNA
Source: RNAcentral
CUAAGAAUAUUCCGCAAUGGACGAAAGUCUGACGGAGCGACGCCGCGUGGAUGAAGAAGGCCGCAAGGUUGUAAAAUCCUUUUGCUGGGGAAGAAUAAGUCCAGGAGGGAAUGCCUGGAUGAUGACAUGAACCGGCGAAUAAGCCCCGGCCAACUACGUGCCAGCAGCCGCGGUAACACGUAGGGGGCAAGCGUUGUUCGGAAUUACUGGGCGUAAAGGGCAUGUAGGCGGUUUAGUAAGCUUGGCGUGAAAGACCACAGCUCAACUGUGGGGUUGCGUUGAGAACUGCUGAACUUGAGUUACGGAGAGGGAGCUAGAAUUCCUGGUGUAGGGGUGGAAUCUGUAGAGAUCAGGAAGAAUACCGAUGGCGAAGGCAAGGUUCGGGCCGGUAACUGACGCUGAGGUGCGAAAGUGUGGUGAUCAAACU